Long non-coding RNA from Capsella rubella, 1094 nucleotides. RefSeq lists it as uncharacterized. NCBI's taxonomy places the organism in Eukaryota, Viridiplantae, Streptophyta, Magnoliopsida, Brassicales, Brassicaceae. The record is from RefSeq and is a predicted model, not a curated record. The transcript is spliced from 8 exons.
ACUUUCUUUAUCAUAAGAUGGGACUUAUAAAGUUUACGCACAACGACUUCGAUUUCGUCGAUAUAGAAGACAGUGAAAUUCUAAUCAUGAUAUAUUUUAGAUAAGUACAUAUAAUCAAUUGAAGUUUCUUAUUGAAUAAAACAUUAGAUUUUAUAGUUUAUAUCUGAAUCUGACAUUAUUCUUUAACGCAGAUAUAACUUGAAGAUUAAUCAUUUCAAAACUCUCUGCUUUGAACUACGUCGGCUACGCUUAAUAAAAAAAACCUCCAUACUAUCGAAUCGUACCAACUCUGGCCAUUUGGUGUUGCAUGUAAAAGUGAUGAAGAGAUCUGGGAAGCCAUGAUGCUUACAAACAGCCAUUGCAUCAAGAUACAUAUUUCGCAUAUAUCUAGGUCCACCUACGAAAGUAGCGGAUUCAUCUUCUGAGGUUUCGGAGUCAUGACAAUCACUACUGCUGGUGCAUUGUUCCAUGUCUAGGUACUGGAAUUUGGUUAGUUAAAUCACCAAGAACUGUCCUUGUCCUUACAGAAUCCCUAGUAGAACCUGGUUGGAAUCGAGAUCACAAAAUAUAAUAUAUAAAUCCAAUGCAAUUUGAGGAGAAGAUGCAUGCUCUGGGAGUUUCAUAAAACUUGCGCCAUGCAUAGGACUCUGAAUCAGAUCAGAGAAGACUCUUUUAAAAAUUGAUCUAACUUCAAUACUACUAUGAGGAUUGUCCUGUAGAUUGGGAUUUUUAUUCUCCUUAUCAAUAGGGGUAAUUUUCUAUUAUCAAAUCAUGGUACAUAAUUCUGACGGCGUUAUGUACGGCAAUUCAAAGGAUUGGACGAAACACUUACCGCUACAUCAGCCAAGAUCAUCUCGAUUGUCUCUCCAGUGUAAGUAGUGAACUGUUUCCAUGUGUGGACGAUCUUCACUCUUAUUUUCCAUGAUGUCUUGAAUGGUUUGAUGUCUGAUAGCUCGGUGAAACACUCCUUUGCUGCCAUUGUUUUUAAGUCGCUUUAGGUUUAAUGUGUAUGUGUAUUAGUAACAUAUGCUUGACUAUUUAUAGAUCGGCCUUUACUUGGUUGCAAAGAUAUGGCAUAUUCUCUAUGGCAUAUU